CCUACUGCUCCACCUUCUUCGUCCCGCCAGAAGCCCUGCUUGCGCCUUCCUGUGGAGCCAAAGGGAGAAGAGGUGAAGCAGAAGUAUAACAUGCAUCCAGAGAAGUGCAAAGACUUGGGCAUUUUACAAAGUGAAUAUCCCCAGCACCGAGAUCAAGAAACACCAUAAUCAGGAUCCGGAAGUCCCCCCAAAUAUCAGAGGCAAAGACUUCUGAAUCCCAGUGCUCCAACUUGAGAAAGCUGUGGAGGCUGUGGUUCAGGCCGGGGGAAUGAGCGUGGAUGAAGUAGAAUAGUAUGCUGACUAGACCAGUGCUUCUCAAACUGCAGUGUGCCACUGAAUGACCCAGGCGUCUGGU
Long non-coding RNA from Eubalaena glacialis (North Atlantic right whale), 355 nucleotides. RefSeq lists it as uncharacterized. The record is from RefSeq and is a predicted model, not a curated record. NCBI's taxonomy places the organism in Eukaryota, Metazoa, Chordata, Mammalia, Artiodactyla, Balaenidae. The transcript is spliced from 3 exons.